Stegastes partitus (bicolor damselfish) is the source of this 259-nucleotide long non-coding RNA. RefSeq lists it as uncharacterized. The record is from RefSeq and is a predicted model, not a curated record. Lineage: Eukaryota; Metazoa; Chordata; Actinopteri; Pomacentridae. The transcript has 2 exons.
GGGAAAAAGGAGGCAUAUUUAGAUACGGAUGCACAGCCGUAGGAUUAUCAGAUCAAACAAAGCUCUUCAUAACUUCAUUAUGCAACACGUUAGGAUGUGACAGUAUGACGAUAAUAUAUAUUAACAGUACCGCGAAGUAAAACAAAAUAUUUUGUUAGUACAAACUUACAAAAAAUACAGUAUUUUAAUUCUGAUUUAAGUUGCACAAAAGGUUUCACCAGGCAAAAUGCGCAAAUAUGAAGACUAGUCCAGCUCAGCU